CAUUAAGAAGCUAGUAGCACUAACCUUUUAAGUUAGGGAUAGAGAAUAAAAUUUUUCUCCUUAAUGA
Molecule: transfer RNA, 67 nt
Filed under: Phataginus tetradactyla (long-tailed pangolin)
Lineage: Eukaryota; Metazoa; Chordata; Mammalia; Pholidota; Manidae
Description: Manis tetradactyla (long-tailed pangolin) tRNA-Lys
Source: RNAcentral